This 490-nucleotide ribosomal RNA is filed under the name uncultured bacterium. RNAcentral's name for it is "partial 16S ribosomal RNA". It matches the Rfam family "Bacterial small subunit ribosomal RNA", at positions 28 to 507 of the family's 1533-position model. The record is from RNAcentral.
GAUGAACGCUCGCGGCAGGCCUAAUACAUGCAAGUCGAACGGGAUCCAGAUCAAAGCUUGCUUUGGUCUGGUGAGAGUGGCGCACGGGUGCGUAACGCGUGAGCAACCUACCCUUGUCAGGGGGAUAGCCCGGCGAAAGUCGGAUUAAUACCGCAUGACAUCAUUGAGAGGCAUCUUUCGAUGAUCAAAGAUUUAUCGGACAAGGAUGGGCUCGCGUGACAUUAGCUAGUUGGUAAGGUAACGGCUUACCAAGGCUGCGAUGUCUAGGGGCUCUGAGAGGAGAAUCCCCCACACUGGUACUGAGCCACGGACCAGACUCCUACGGGAGGCAGCAGUAAGGAAUAUUGGUCAAUGGACGGAAGUCUGAACCAGCCAUGCCGCGUGCAGGAGGACGGCCCUAGGGGUUGUAAACUGCUUUUAUACGGGAACAAACGUCGGUACGUGUACCGGUCUGAGUGUACCGUAAGAAUAAGGAUCGGCUAACUCCGUG